AUGCUAAUCUACCUAAAUCUAUCGCAUAACUCCUUCAAAAGAUCAAUUCCAGGCCCACUCGAAAAGUUAAGCAGCUUAGCAUCAUUAGACCUAUCAUUUAACAAUCUCUCUGGUAGCAUUCCCACGUUCCUUGCCAACUUUACAUACUUGACUACCUUGAACCUCUCAUUCAAUAGUCUAGAAGGCCAAAUACCCGAGGGAGGUGUUUUCUCAAAUCUCACAUUGCAAUCUUUAAUUGGAAAUGUUGGGUUGUGUGGCGCUCCUCGCCUAGAUCUUUUGCCAUGCCUUGACAUACCUCACUCAAGAAACAAACAUGUGCUACAAAUUCUACUCCCAACACUCACACUAGCUUUUGGCGCCAUUGCCAUUUGCAUAUACCUAUUGUUCGGAAAGAAACCUAAGGGGGGAGAGGACAAACAUUUUGUCAAUGCAAAUGAUGUCAUAGGCCAUCAGAUAGUCUCCUAUCAUGAGCUCAUUCGUGCGACCAAUAGUUUCAGUGAAGAUAACAUCUUGGGAUGCGGAAGCUUUGGAAAAGUAUUCAAAGGCCAACUAAGCACUGGUUUGGUAGUCGCUAUAAAAGUUAUCGACGUGCAGCUAGAGCAGGCCAUUCGAAGUUUUGAUGCCGAGUGUCAAGUGCUUCGUAUGGUGCGACACCGCAACCUCAUAAAGAUACUCAACACAUGUUCCAAUCUUGAUUUCAAAGCGCUAGUGCUUCAGUACAUGCCAAAUGGCAGCUUGGAGAUGCUCCUACAUCAGACCAAGAGUACAGUGCGCUUGGGAUUCCUUGAGAGAUUAUGCAUCAUGCUAGACGUGUCGAUGGCAAUGGAUUAUCUACACCAUGAGUACUACAAUUUGAUCUUGCACUGUGACUUGAAGCCUAGCAACGUGUUGUUCGAUGAGGAGAUGACGACGCAUGUGGCGGACUUUGGCAUUGCAAGGUUGAUUCUAGAUGACAAUAGCAUGACAUGUGUGAGCAUGCCUGGAACAGUUGGGUACAUGGCACCUGAGUACGGAUCUCUUGGAAAAGCAUCGCGAAAGAGCGAUAUGUUUAGUUAUGGAAUCAUGCUCCUUGAAGUCUUCACCGGAAGGAGACCCACCGAUGCUAUGUUUGGCGCACAACUAACUCUUAGGCAGUGGGUUCAUCAGGCAUUUCCUGCAGAGCUUGUCCAAGUUGUCGAUGUCCAGCUUCUACAGGGUUCCUCUCUUUCUAGCUGCAAACAGGAUGGUGGUUUUCUUGCGUCGGUCUUCGAGUUGGGAUUGAUCUGCUCUAGUGACUUGCCUGACCAGAGGAUGACGAUGCAUGAUGUGGUAGUGAUGCUGAAGAAGAUCAAAGUCGAGUACACCAAACUGAUAGCUACUACUAUGCCACGUAGUGCAACACAAUGA
This 1386-nucleotide ribosomal RNA is filed under the name Triticum aestivum (bread wheat). Its description in RNAcentral is "partial small subunit ribosomal RNA". Lineage: Eukaryota; Viridiplantae; Streptophyta; Magnoliopsida; Poales; Poaceae. The record is from RNAcentral.